Non-coding RNA from Amborella trichopoda, 2590 nucleotides. Lineage: Eukaryota; Viridiplantae; Streptophyta; Magnoliopsida; Amborellales; Amborellaceae. The record is from RefSeq and is a predicted model, not a curated record.
GAUUUCUUUGUGGCGGCAGACCAAUAUAUAGAUUUCUUUGUGGCAGCAGAUCAAUACAUUCGUCUAUUUCCGUCGUAUCCCAUCCUCUUAAGACAGCAAAAAAAACCCUGCAUUUGUAUUAGGGUUUUUGGAUCAAACACUUCUCUUCUUUGAUCUUCAUCUGGUAAAAAUGGAACCUCCUUGAUCCAUUUCAAUGGCGGAGUACUUUACUAGGCUCUUCGGAGUAUUCUUCUGUGGCAUCUGAGUUUUGGCUGGCAUUGCAUAAAACCUAGAGAAAGAAACUCUAUUUCUCAGUUCCCUUUUAUUCGCUAGAAUGGAAGAAACACCUAGAAAACGAGGAAGAAAAAGUAAGAAAGACAAGAAUGGUGCAUCCUCUAAUUCUCAAAUACCAGGCGAUUCUGGCGCUUCAAUGGAUCCAGUUUUCUCAAUCAUGGAUGUUGAGGUUAUCAAUCAAAGUGCGCCAACUGCUCGGAAAAGGGGGAGACCGAAGAAGUUGCCCCCUGUUGCAGUUCAGAGCAAUGGGGUUGGUCAUUUGAGAGAUGCCACCAAGAGAGACACUCCUUUAGAGAGAGAACAUGGAGCGCUUGAUCUGGUUUUGGUUUCGCCACAAAGAAGGAGCUUGAGAAUUCCUGAAAACAAUGCUAGGUUUUCGCCCCCACCAACUGACAUAAAGAAAGAGUGUUUAGGGAAGGUACUUCCCUCCAUGGAUGCUGUAGUAAAGGUUUUUUGCGUUCACACUGAGCCCAAUUUCUCUUUGCCAUGGCAAAGAAAGAGGCAGUACAGUUCUAGUAGUAGCGGGUUCAUUGUUAGUGGACGUAGGGUUUUGACAAACGCUCACUCAGUUGAGCAUUAUACCCAGGUUAAGCUAAAGAAGAGAGGGUCAGAUACAAAGUACUUGGCCACUGUUUUAGCAAUUGGAACUGAGUGCGACAUUGCAAUGCUGACAGUUAAUGAUGAUGAGUUUUGGCAAGGAGUAUCUCCUGUGGAAUUUGGAUCUUUACCUGCUUUGCAAGAUGCUGUUACUGUCGUUGGUUAUCCAAUAGGUGGCGACACAAUUUCUGUGACAAGUGGUGUUGUAUCACGUAUGGAGAUCUUAUCUUAUGUCCAUGGGUCCACGGAGCUUUUAGGUCUACAGAUUGAUGCAGCUAUAAACUCGGGAAAUUCUGGUGGACCUGCUUUUAAUGAUAAAGGCCAAUGCGUUGGUAUUGCAUUUCAGUCUCUUAAGCAUGAAGAUGUGGAGAAUAUUGGGUAUGUCAUUCCGACUCCUGUCAUCAUGCAUUUCAUCAAAGACUAUGAACAGUCAGGGGAUUAUACAGGAUUUCCUGUACUUGGGGUUGAGUGGCAGAAGAUGGAAAAUCCUGAUUUGCGGAAAGCCAUGGGUAUGACUUCUAAUCAAAAGGGGGUUCGUAUCAGAAGAGUAGAGCCCACAGCUCCAGCAUUUAAGUUUUUGAAACAAUCAGAUAUAAUCCUUAGCUUCGAUGACAUCGACAUUGCUAAUGAUGGCACCGUUCCUUUCAGGCAUGGGGAACGGAUUGGCUUUAGUUACCUUGUCUCUCAGAAAUAUACUGGAGAGACUGCCAAAAUAAAGAUUCUCCGCAAUGCAAAGAUCCUUGAAUAUAAAGUAGAACUUGCAACACAUAAACGUCUUGUCCCAGCACACAUCAAAGGGAAGCCACCAUCAUAUUACAUCAUUGCUGGAUUUGUUUUCUCAGCUAUAUCAGUACCGUAUCUUCGAUCUGAGUAUGGAAAAGAUUAUGACUAUGACUCUCCUGUCAAACUGCUGGACAAACUCUUGCAUUCAAUGUCACAAACAGAAGAUGAACAGCUGGUGGUGGUUUCUCAGGUCCUUGUGGCUGACAUAAACAUAGGUUACGAAGAUAUUGUCAACACUCAGGUUCUCGCAUUUAAUGGCCAACCGAUAAAAAAUCUAAAGCACCUGGCUAACCUUGUGGAGAACUAUGAGGGCGAGUUUUUGCAAUUCAACUUGGAUUACCAACAGAUUGUCGUUCUCGAGACAAAGACAGCCAGGGCUGCAACAGUUGACAUCUUGACAACCCACUGCAUACCUGCAGCCAUGUCUGAUGAUCUCCGGACAUGAAGCACCUGCACCCCAUCUUUCAGGUUUUUGUUGCAAAGGGGCGUUGCUUUAUCCGAUAUUUAAUGAUUACUUUCUUGUCACAAGCUGCUCAGUUCCCAACCUUGAUAUCAUUUUUGUACAACCAUGAAAAUGGAGCUCAUUUGUUCUUACUGUUAUAACAAACCCAUCUUGCAGAAAUUAUCCUAAAAUAUGCAUUAUUGUGGCAGGUUUUAAAUACUGUCCAUGCAAUGCCGAAUCGCCUAGUUUGAUCUUAUUUUGUUGGCCAUAGUUUUGGAUACAUCGUCAUACACAAUAGAGACGAUGUAUUUUGUGUUGCCUUUGCCUUGGGCCUGUGGGAGUUCGAUAAACGAGGGAUUAGGUAUUUUAUGCGACUAAAAGAGAUGGGAUUUGUGUAUGAUAGAGUGAUACUGACAUGAUUUGUGGAUAAUAGAGUGAUACUGACACCAUUGGCAAUGUUUGCUGGGAAUGAGAUUCAGUUUUCCGUGGAUGAUC